RNAcentral lists this transfer RNA (4747 nucleotides) under Sus scrofa (pig). RNAcentral describes it as "lncRNA (ENSSSCG00045017903.1)". The record is from RNAcentral. Lineage: Eukaryota; Metazoa; Chordata; Mammalia; Artiodactyla; Suidae.
CCUGCUUGGUAAUUUUAAUCAGUCCAAGAACCAAUUGCUGCGCCCUCAGAUCAAUAGCCCCUGGGAGGGACUGAGGAUGGUCUCGGGGGAGGCCCUUCAGCUGCUCCUGCAGGGGAAUCAGUUCCUUCCUGCCUCAGAUUCACUCUAAUCAAGCUUCUUCCACUUUAUUGCUUUAUGAAAGCAGCCUCCUCCAAGAACCUGAGCUGGCACCAAGUCAGGAUGACCAGAAUGAAAUCAGUGGCUAAAACGUAUCUUUUCAUAUCUUAAAAUCCAAUUUUCCAGUAAGGGCUUGGAGUUUUGUUUUUUUGUUUGUUUGUUUCUUUCUUUCUUUCUUUUUAUUCUUUGUUUAUUUGUUUUUUGUUUCUUUCAUGCAUUGAGGAAGAGAUGAAAGAAUAAAUGAUGGACUAGUCCGCACUUGGUAAAUGGUUAAUGAAGGAGAACCAAAUAAUAUAAUGUAUGCGAAACAGAUGUCAUCAGCGAAGAGUGAAAAUUAUAACUGAGCUGGACAGAACAGCAGUCUUACUCUGUGGCGCCAUCUGCUGGAAGUAAGUUAGCACCACAUGUCCGUUUCUGCUUUAGAGAAGCAGGCGGACAUGAGGUUCUGAAAAUACAAGCAAAGCGCUGAGUAAAAAUGGAACACAUUUCAGCAAAAUCUAACAUUUGCCAGAUACCGUGCGAGAAACAUGCAUUAUUUCUCUUCAUCCUCACUGUAACUAUGAGAGGCGUAUACUAUGAUUAUUUUAUCUUUAGAGAUUAAAUAUCUGAGGGCUUCUUGGCAUUCCCUGGUGGCUCAUUGGAUUUUAGGAUCCAGCCAUUAUCAGUGCUGUGACUUGGGUCCCUGCUGUGACUUGCAUCCCUGCUGUGGUACCAGUUGAAUCCCUGGCCUGGGAACUUUUGCAUGCCACAGGAGCAGAGAAAAAAAAAAGAAAGAAAGCAAAAAGAAGGAAAAGAAAAUGAAAAUCUAAGGCUUAUCAAGGAUUCUAGUGAAUAUAUAUAUGAAUGUCUGAGCCCACAGAGCUAGUGGGUAUUUGGCAUAAGACUCAAAACACAGUUCCAUCUGACUUCAGAGCCUCUCGUGGGUUAGUUCCCCAGGAAUUAAACUCAAACAUGGGGAUAUGCAUGCAGGAAGAUUAUUACAGAGUGUUUUAGGAUCACAGAUGGAAGGGAAAAAAUCAAACUUCAUGCAGCCUCAGCAGAGGCCUCAGCUGAUGCCAAGAGGUUAGAAUGGAGCUGGGAUGGCAAGAAGGCUGGGACUCCCGCUUCAUCCAAUCUUUGCAUGUAGAACUUGGGCUAGGUUGUUUUCCUCAGCCAAGGGCAAAUCCUCAAAAAGGACUCAGCUGAGAACUGUCAGUAGCCUAAGAUCCCAGCAGCUGGGGCAAUAUACAAGCACCGCAUUCCUGGAGUGCGGAGGUCUGCGCAUCAUGCCACAGUAUCCACUACAGAGCCCCUAUACUUGUCACAUCUGCACUGCUGCUCCAAUAGGGGGUAGGUAACCAAGGUCAAUGUCAUGGGUAGUAGGGGGGGCAGGGGUUAAUGAGCAAACAUAGUUCUGCCCACCAACCACCCAGUGAAACUGAUUCAGGCCAUGCCUACCAUUCAGUUGCAAUAACUGAUUCAUACAGAAAUAAUAUAUAGAUUGCUUUAUGGGUUUCAAGCCAUUAACAAAGAAGUAAAAUGCAAUGUUCAACUAACUGGGCAAGUGAUUGGUGAUGGAUUCCUUGAUACAUUCAAAUAAGAAAUGGAAGAAUUGAGGGCCACAAAUUGACUAAUGUAUAAAUCAAGAGUUCCUGUCAUGGCUCAGCAGCUAAUGAACCGGACUAGCAUCCAUGAGGACAUGGAUUCAAUCCCUGGCCUUGUUGAGCAGGUUAAGGAUCCGGCGUUGCCGUAAGCUGUGGUGUAGCUCACAGAUGUGGCUUGGAUCCCACGUUUCUGUGGCUGUGGUGCAGGCUGGCUGCUGUAGCUCUGGUUAAACCCCUAGCCUGGGAACCUCCAUAUGCUGCGGGUACAGCCUUAAAAAGACAAAAAAAAAUCAUUCGUGCCGUAUAUUCUAUUCCAGACAGAUCCUGCUGUAUAGAACAGGGAACUAUAUCUAGUCACUUGUGAUGGAACAUGAUAGAGGAUAAUGUAAGAAAAAGAAUAUAUAUAUAUAUAUAUUUUUACAUUUGUAUGACUGGGUCACUUUGCUGUACAGUAGAAAUUGACAGAACACUAUAAACCAACUAUAAUGGAAAAAAUUAUAAAAAAUAAAUCAUUUAGUGGCAAAUGAAAUUGGUUAAAAACAUUUCGCUCCCUCUCCCACACCACUUCUAUAGGAGGAGUGAAGUUUUAAUGUUGGGAGGUGUUAGCCUUGGUUCUGUCAGCCACCCACUGACCUUAGGCUUGGUCAUGUGACUUGCUUUUCCCAAUGAGAUGUCUGCAGUUACUGACACAAGCAGAGGCUUGAAAUGUACUUGGGUGGUUGGCCUUGCCUUCUUGUGCUUCUGUCAUGCCCUGGCUGCUAGGUCACUGAGACUGCAGAACUAUACAUCAAAGUCAGUAGGAAAAUUGUUGUUUUAUAUCACUAAGUUAUGAGGUGGCUUGUUUGGCAGCUUUGGUUAAUCAAUACACAUUUACCAAGCUGUGGAGGAUAACAUACAGGAAUGAACUCCUCAAUAAUAAUUUUGACUGUAUAUGAUUUUUCCUAAGAACAGUCCUUAAUCCUUAGUCUCCAUAAAUGAUCUGAAUCUCAUGCUUAAAUAUGGGAAAAAAUUGGGCCAGGCAUUAUUUUGAGCAUCUGUGGCAGAGACCACUAAAUGCCCCUUAGUCAAUGUCUCUAUAUUUAUUUCUUGAGCAAUAAUAAACUCCAGUGUCCCCAAACCAUCCGGAAACAGGGGUAUAAUAUCUGUGCAGUCCUCCCAGAAAGUGAUACUAGAAUCUGUUCAAUUUGGCCAUGAGGAUACUGGACAAGGAAGAGUGUCCCCAAGGGAAGAGCCAAGGGUCAUGGAGGUCAGAGGUCAGGUAGGAGGUCAGAGGACAGGUACACUCAUCCUAGAAAGCAGGACCAACUCAGCUGACAAAGGAGGAUGUCUGUCCAAUACCUGGACUUUAUUUAUUUAUUUAUUUAUUCAUUCAUUUAUUUAUCAGGCCCAUGGCAUGUGGAAGUUCCCAGGCCAGGAAUGGAACCUGAGCCACAGCAGUGACAAUGCCAAAUCCUUAAUUGCUCGGCCACCAGGGAACUCCUGAAUUUUUUAAUAAUAGUAUUUAGAGGUCAUUUCCCUUGUGCCCAGGCACAUGAUCCCCCAAAUACAUGCUAAUCUUCCCAACCUUCCUUAUAGCCAAGUGUGGGCAUGUAACUGAGUUCUAUCCAGUGGGGUGCAAAUCAGAUAAUCACAUAGCAGAUUCUAGAAACUUCAUUAAGAGACAGCUGGGUUACACCAAAUACCUCUACCUUUUUCGCUCUGAUAUCUUUUUUCCUUCUGGUUUAGAUGCAGGUGUAAUGGCAGGAGCUGGACCAGCCAAUUUGGACUAUAAGGUAAGUUUGAUUCAAAUGGGCAAUUAAUGUAGAAUGAAGCAACAAGACUAAAGGAGCCUAAGUUCUGGAAAAUUUGAUGGCACAAACCGCCAAAUCAACCCCAAACUUCCUAUCUUUAACUUUUACAGGAGAGGGGAAAUAAAACAACUUCAUCUUAUUCAAGUCAAUGAUAUUUGGCCUCUCUGAUAUUGGCAAACGCACCUAAACCCAACUGAUAUAGCAUCCAACUAUUGACAACUCAUAGUCCUUACAUUUAAUUAGAAGGAAAGAGAUCUUGUUACUGUUUGUAAAAAGACACUCUAGAUAGAAAUUUAUGUUGGAGUUCCUGUCGUGGCGCAGUGGUUAACGAAUCCGACUAGGAACCAUGAGGUUGCGGGUUCNNNNNNNNNNNNNNNNNNNNNNNNNNNNNNNNNNNNNNNNNNNNNNNNNNNNNNNNNNNNNNNNNNNNNNNNNNNNNNNNNNNNNNNNNNNNNNNNNNNNNAAAAAAAAAAAAAAAAAAAAAGAAAAGAAAUUUAUGUCUGUGAUUCAGUGUGCUGGAAAAAAGACUAUACUGGAGUUAGAAGAACCAAAUUCUAGCCCCUGCACUGUUGCUGAUGAAUCAUAUGACCUUUGCCAUAUUUCUCUGAUCAAUAAAAUAAGAGGGUUGGAAGAGGAAUAAAUUCAGGAAAAUCAAUAAACAUAGAAGAUGCUUACCAUCACUGGUAAUAAGAGAGAUGCAAAUUAAAACAAGCAGAUACACAUUAACUCCAAUGAGAUUGGCAGAAUCAAAGUGCCUAAUAAGUCCAGGUGUUGAUGUGGACAAGGGGGAAACAGAAUUUUCCUACAAUGCAGGUGGAAAUGAAACUUGGUACAACCAGUGAAAGUCAACCAUUUGCAAUAAAGCUGGAAACAUGCAUGUCUUGUGAUCCAGCAGUUCACCUUCUAAAUAAAUACCCUAGAGACUCUUUUGCUGUCAUGUCCCGUUUGAUGAUCUAGGCCACCGAUGAAAAGACCUAUGAUCUCCACAUGUAUUAUAGAAACGAAUUAGGUAAGGACAUUGUCAUAUAUUCAGGCAAUGGAGUACUAUCACAAUAGGAAAAUGCUCCUUCAGGCUUAGCCUCACUGUUACCUGUCCUGGGGUAGCACACUAUUCUUUGUAAACCCUGUGAAAUUCUCCUAAUGGGUGCACCAUAUUAGGAUACAGAGAGAAACCUAGCAGUUCCUUUGGAACGAUUCAUGAGCUCUUCAUGACCCAUU